This 217-nucleotide ribosomal RNA is filed under the name Rhizoprionodon oligolinx (grey sharpnose shark). RNAcentral's name for it is "partial 16S ribosomal RNA". The record is from RNAcentral. Lineage: Eukaryota; Metazoa; Chordata; Chondrichthyes; Carcharhiniformes; Carcharhinidae.
UCAAAGCAAGCCUAAAUACCAGUUCAACUAGACCUUAUAAAUCUAAUAUAUAAUAUAAUUUUUAACCAAAACAUUCUUAACCUUUCAGUAUGGGCGACAGAACAAUAACCUCAGCGCAAUAGCUUAUGUACCGCAAGGGAAUGCUGAAAAAGAAAUGAAAUAAAUUAUUAAAGUACCAAAAAGCAGAGAUUAUACCUCGUACCUUUUGCAUCAUGAU